This 242-nucleotide long non-coding RNA is filed under the name Elaeis guineensis (African oil palm). RNAcentral describes it as "long non-coding RNA (EGUI_LNC034033)". The record is from RNAcentral. Lineage: Eukaryota; Viridiplantae; Streptophyta; Magnoliopsida; Arecales; Arecaceae.
ACUGGAUGAUGUGGCAACGUUCUAUUGGAUGGUCCAAAGUCCAUGUGGUAGAAUAAUUCUUACAAAUAAUUUCUUGCAUAGCUAAGUAUCUUGCUAGUUCGGUCAUGCAACACAGUAGAGGAAAUAACUGAUUGUAUGACCUUCAUAGGGAUUUGAGAUCAACGGCUUUUUUUGAGAACAUAGGUCAUCCAAGUUUUAGCGAGAGUAGGUCAUGGUAUUUUGCAGAAGUAGUUUGGAUGUGG